GAUGGGUUAGUUUAAAGGUAAAACCUAGUACUACGGAUACUUGGAUGUAAGUUCGAUUCUUACACUCAUCU
This 71-nucleotide transfer RNA is filed under the name Annulohypoxylon stygium. Its description in RNAcentral is "tRNA-Arg". It matches the Rfam family "tRNA". From Rfam's summary of the family: Transfer RNA (tRNA) molecules are approximately 80 nucleotides in length. Their secondary structure includes four short double-helical elements and three loops (D, anti-codon, and T loops). Further hydrogen bonds mediate the characteristic L-shaped molecular structure. tRNAs have two regions of fundamental functional importance: the anti-codon, which is responsible for specific mRNA codon recognition, and the 3' end, to which the tRNAs corresponding amino acid is attached (by aminoacyl-tRNA synthetases). tRNAs cope with the degeneracy of the genetic code in two manners: having more than one tRNA (with a specific anti-codon) for a particular amino acid; and 'wobble' base-pairing, i.e. permitting non-standard base-pairing at the 3rd anti-codon position. The record is from RNAcentral. Lineage: Eukaryota; Fungi; Ascomycota; Sordariomycetes; Xylariales; Hypoxylaceae.